RNAcentral lists this ribosomal RNA (324 nucleotides) under uncultured Thermanaerovibrio sp. Its description in RNAcentral is "bacterial SSU rRNA". It matches the Rfam family "Bacterial small subunit ribosomal RNA", at positions 1059 to 1382 of the family's 1533-position model. The record is from RNAcentral. Lineage: Bacteria; Thermotogati; Synergistota; Synergistia; Synergistales; Synergistaceae.
CUCGUGUCGUGAGAUGUUGGGUUAAGUCCCGCAACGAGCGCAACCCUUGCUUUAGUUGCCAGCAGUUCGGCUGGGCACUCUAAAGGGACUGCCGGUGUUAAACCGGAGGAAGGUGGGGGAUGACGUCAAGUCAUCAUGGCCCUUAUGUCCAGGGCGACACACGUGCUACAAUGGCCGGCACAGCGGGAAGCGAGGCAGUGAUGCCAAGCGGAUCCCUUAAAGCCGGUCUCAGUUCGGAUUGAAGUCUGCAACUCGACUUCAUGAAGCUGGAAUCGCUAGUAAUCGCAGAUCAGCCAAGCUGCGGUGAAUACGUUCCCGGGCCUU